RNAcentral lists this ribosomal RNA (545 nucleotides) under uncultured archaeon. RNAcentral describes it as "bacterial SSU rRNA". It matches the Rfam family "Archaeal small subunit ribosomal RNA", at positions 770 to 1316 of the family's 1478-position model. The record is from RNAcentral.
GAUGAUGCAUUGGCAUAUAGCCAGUGCAGUGUNGCAGGGAAGCCGUUAAGUCAGCCNCCUGGGAAGUACGUACGCAAGUAUGAAACUUAAANGAAUUGGCGGGGGAGCACCACAAGGGGUGAAGCCUGCGGUUCAAUUGGAGUCAACGCCAGAAAUCUUACCCGGAGAGACAGCAGAAUGAAGGUCAAGCUGAAGACUUUACCAGACAAGCUGAGAGGUGGUGCAUGGCCGUCGCCAGCUCGUGCCGUGAGAUGUCCUGUUAAGUCAGGUAACGAGCGAGAUCCCUGCCACUAGUUGCUAUCAUUAUUCUCAGGAAUAGUGGGGCGAAUUAGUGGGACUGCCGUUGUUAAAACGGAGGAAGGAGGGGGCUACNUCAGGUCAGUAUGCCCCGAAACUCUGGGGCCACACGCGGGCUGCAAUGGUAGCGACAAUGAGCUCCAAACUCGAAAGAGAGUGGCAAUCUCUAAACGCUACCACAGUUAUGACUGAGGGCUGUGACUCGCCCUCACGAAUAUGGAAUCCCUAGAACNGCGUUCAUACCGCGC